GAUGAAGAACGCAGCGAAAUGCGAUACGUAAUGUGAAUUGCAGAAUUCAGUGAAUCAUCGAAUCUUUGAACGUAUAUUGCGCUCUCUGGUAUUCCGGAGAGCAUGCUUGUUUGAGUAUCAGUAAACACCUCAACUUCCAUAUCUUUUUUGAAAUGGGAGUUGGACUUGAGUGAUCCCAACGCUUUUCCUCACCGAAAAGUGGCGGGUUACUUGAAAUGCAGGUGCAGCUGGACUUUUCUCUGAGCUAUAAGCAUAUCUAUUUAGUCUGCCUAAAAAACAGAUUAUUACCUUUGCUGCAGCUAACAUAAAGGAGAUUAGUUCUUGUGCUGACUGAUGCAGGAUUCACAAAGACAGGCUUCGGCCGACUUUGUAAACUCGAUCUCAAAUCAAGUAAGACUACCCGCUGAACUUAAGCAUAUCAAUAAGCGGAGGA
RNAcentral lists this unclassified non-coding RNA (433 nucleotides) under soil metagenome. RNAcentral describes it as "partial contains 5.8S ribosomal RNA, internal transcribed spacer 2, and large subunit ribosomal RNA". The stretch from base 1 to 120 matches the Rfam family "5.8S ribosomal RNA", at positions 35 to 154 of the family's 154-position model. The record is from RNAcentral.